RNAcentral lists this long non-coding RNA (1096 nucleotides) under Mus pahari (shrew mouse). RNAcentral's name for it is "lncRNA (MGP_PahariEiJ_G0004604.1)". The record is from RNAcentral. Lineage: Eukaryota; Metazoa; Chordata; Mammalia; Rodentia; Muridae.
GUGACCAUGCAUAGUCUCACGAGCAUGGCAUAUGCGUUUCCUAAAUAUUUCAGGUUACCGGGAAGAGAAAUACAAUUGAACAUUCACAAGGCCUCGGCUUGGGGAACUAGGGAUGCUCAGGCCUCCACAUUUGGGCCUGCCUAACUAGAAGUAAUGGAGAACUUUCAUCCGAGGAUAUAGAGGAUCGGGGAGAAUCCUGAGUUCCUCACAGGCUGUUGGGAUGACUGUGAGGUUAAUGAAGCAAGUGUGUGUGGGGGGGGGGGGUUUACCAGCACUGAAAUGGCUCUUGUCUGGGUCAACAAAGCUAAAUGAGGGUUUUCUAAAGGGCUGAGCUACCUGGCCUGGGGAUGGUCAGCAUCCUUUUACAGAACAGACUGUUUCAACAUGCCUCCUUUAAGUUAAUCCCUAACUAGUCACUGAGGAGCCAAUGAAAAUAUAACUGUGUCCCUCUAUAAUCAUAUGUUCCACCAAAGACAAUGACUUCAAAGGAAACUUGUGGGGAUUGAAGUACUCCAUCCCAGGAAGGAGAGAAGAAGAGGAAAUCUCCCUUGAGGUUAAGGUGUGAGAUGUGCGCCACGGAAGACCUUUCAGUGCUGAGGCUUCCUGUGUCCACCUCCAGAGCCUCUCAGAGACCAGAAGAUGAUCGUCACUGCCUUUGACCCUAGCCAGAAAAACUGCUUCUGUGCUGGUCAGCACUUAACACAGAGACUCAUAGGCAGUCCGACUGCCGAGUUAAGUGACUAUUGGCUGCUCAGUCCUCAAUGGGACAUAUGCAUCAAGAACCUUCAAGGCUCAGGGUACAUUUUAGAAAGGAAGGCAGAAAAAAUAAAGUAAGAGACAGAGAAAGGGAGACAUGCUGCGAUAAGCUUCAUUCUGGAUACGACACGGCUACCAUACUUAUGAACUCAUAGCAACUGUGAAUACCUGCACAAAGUCAAACCAACAAGAUCAGUCAAUAUUCCAACACAAUGGUUUAGAAAAAAACAAGAAGACAUGAAGAUCAAAGGGGACAUGUUGGCCCUGAGGAGGAAGGAGUGAUAUGUGAUUAAUAUGCAUCUGUAUGAAAUUGUCAAUUAAUAAAUAAAAGAUUUCUUUU